GGUGGCGACAGAUGCUAAUCUGUACGGAAAGUCAUUAUCUGCGUUUCCUGGGCCAUUAGACUAAUGUUAAGGGAUAACACAGAGAAGUGGAUGAGACCUGACGCUAACAGGAGCUAAUCAUCGAGACCACCUCUCACUCUGAGUCUUGGCUUCAUUUCAAAGCCAACCUGACGGAUGGCGGCCCGGCCAGAAAGCGAAGGGAGGGCCGGGUAUGACUGAAGAAAGUCUGAAGAAAUAUGGCUCAUUAGAAAAGCAGACAGCAGGGCCAAGCAGACACACGCCUGUCACCUCUCCACUCCCACCGGAGACCUUGAUGAGACAAAGAUAAAAGAAAGAUGAACGGAGAGAUGGUCGGACAGAAAGAGCAGGAUGAGACGGAAGGUGGGACCCCAGGUUUUGAUCAGGAGAAGAGAAGCCAAGCCAAACGGCUAGACUGUUUUCUCUGAUGGAAACACAAUGGGGAAACAGGGAGGAGCAGGAGGGUGUGUGAAAAUAAAUCUGCCUAGAAACAGUAUUUUGGUAGGAGUAGAGUGCACAGAGAAAAAAA
Molecule: long non-coding RNA, 547 nt
Organism: Oreochromis aureus
Lineage: Eukaryota; Metazoa; Chordata; Actinopteri; Cichliformes; Cichlidae
Exons: 3
Source: RefSeq, a predicted model, not a curated record